GAGUUUGAUCCUGGCUCAGAACGAAUGCUGGCGGCGUGGAUUAGGCAUGCAAGUCGAACGAUCUCGCAAGAGAUAGUGGCGAAAGGGUGAGUAACACGUGGGUAAUUUGCCCCCGAGACGGGAAUAACUUCGGGAAACCGAAGCUAAUACCGGAUGACGCCGUACCUCCGCAUGGUGGUACGGUGAAAGGUGUCCGCAAGGGUGCCGCUCAGGGAUGAACCCGCGGCCUAUCAGCUAGUUGGUGAGGUAACGGCCCACCAAGGCGAUGACGGGUAGCCGGCCUGAGAGGGUGGUCGGCCACAUUGGGACUGAGACACUGCCCAGACUCCUACGGGAGGCUGCAGUCGAGGAUCUUCCGCAAUGGGGGAAACCCUGACGGAGCGACGCCGCGUGGAGGAUGAAGGCCUUCGGGUCGUAAACUCCUGUCAGUCUGGAAGAAAAUCUGCACUAAUAUGUAGAUUAACCGUACAGGCAGAGGAAGCUCCGGCUAACUCCGUGCCAGCAGCCGCGGUAAUACGGGGGGAGCGAGCGUUGUUCGGAAUCAUUGGGCGUAAAGGGCAUGUAGGCGGCUUUGUAAGUCGGGUGUGAAAUCCCAUCUCUCAAGGGUGGAAUGGCAUUCGAAACUGCAAGGCUUGAGUUCAGGGGAAGAGAGCGGAAUUCUCGGUGUAGCGGU
RNAcentral lists this ribosomal RNA (673 nucleotides) under uncultured bacterium. RNAcentral describes it as "bacterial SSU rRNA". It matches the Rfam family "Bacterial small subunit ribosomal RNA", at positions 9 to 682 of the family's 1533-position model. The record is from RNAcentral.